Molecule: ribosomal RNA, 885 nt
Filed under: Triticum aestivum (bread wheat)
Lineage: Eukaryota; Viridiplantae; Streptophyta; Magnoliopsida; Poales; Poaceae
Description: partial small subunit ribosomal RNA
Source: RNAcentral
AUGGCACAAAUUGACAAGAGGAUACCUCAAGUUGGUAUGAGAUUCAAAGAUUCAAAUGAGGCUUGGAUGUUUUGGGUAGAAUAUGGGGGUCACAUAGGCUUUGAUGUGAGGAAAAGAUGCACCAACAAAAGCAAAUUUGAUGGAAAGGUGACUUCAUGCAGAUUUGUUUGUUCCAAUGAGGGUCUUAGAAGGAAAUGUCAAACCGAACGUGAGCCAAAGCGUUUUAGAGCUGAAACAAGAACUGAUUGUCUAGUUCGGAUGGUUAUUACAUUGGAUCGAGCGACAGAAAAUUAUGAAAUUAUUGAAGUUGUGUUGGAACACAACCACUACCUUCAAUUGCCACAAACCCGCCACUUGUUGGCUUCACAAAGGAAGAUUUCAGAACUGCAAGCUUUCGAGAUAGAAACCGCUGAUGAUUCUGGAAUUAUGCCAAAAGCCGCACAUGAGUUUGCUUGUCGUAAAGGAAGGAAUGUUGUAGAAAAUCCAAAACUAGAAGCUCAACUUCGGUACCAGGAUUUGUCUCAUAAAUUUCACAAUUUGGCACAUAAAGCAGCCAACUAUUUAGAAUGUUGUGUGCUAUUGGAGAAUGCACUUGAUUCCGUUGCUCCACAAAUAGAGGAUAAACUCAACGCAACUACUAGUGCUAUGAAUGAACCAUGUAAAGACAAGGAAAAUGUUGAACCAAAUGUGCAGCAAACAAAUGAGUUUCUUUGUUCCGCACAACUGAAGAAAAAAGAGGUUCAAUCAAGAAAUUUAAGGAGAAAGAAAGGUUGGCUUGAUAAGUUACUCAAGGGGAAGCGCAAGUCAACUAAAACUACCGCACCAACAAAAAAAGGAGCAAAGAUAUGUUGUUAUUUACAUGAUUUGUUCAUUGUUCGAUUCUAA